GGCUGGUCCUAGUAUAGUAGUGUUUAUAACUAAUUGAUCACAACCAGUUAUAGAUUUCUUUGUUCCUUCUCCACUCCCACUGCUUUACUUGACUAGCCUUUA
This 102-nucleotide Y RNA is filed under the name Prolemur simus (greater bamboo lemur). Its description in RNAcentral is "Y RNA (ENSPSMG00000013405.1)". It matches the Rfam family "Y RNA". From Rfam's summary of the family: Y RNAs are components of the Ro ribonucleoprotein particle (Ro RNP), in association with Ro60 and La proteins. The Y RNAs and Ro60 and La proteins are well conserved, but the function of the Ro RNP is not known. In humans the RNA component can be one of four small RNAs -- hY1, hY3, hY4 and hY5. The record is from Rfam by way of RNAcentral. Lineage: Eukaryota; Metazoa; Chordata; Mammalia; Primates; Lemuridae.